This 389-nucleotide ribosomal RNA is filed under the name uncultured bacterium. Its description in RNAcentral is "bacterial SSU rRNA". It matches the Rfam family "Bacterial small subunit ribosomal RNA", at positions 28 to 417 of the family's 1533-position model. The record is from RNAcentral.
GACGAACGCUGGCGGCGUGCUUAACACAUGCAAGUCGAGCGGUAAGGCCCUUUCGGGGGUACACGAGCGGCGAACGGGUGAGUAACACGUGGGUGACCUGCCCUCAGCUCUGGGAUAAGCCUGGGAAACCGGGUCUAAUACUGGAUAUGACUCCAUGACGCAUGUUGUGGGGUGGAAAGCCUUGUGCGGCUGAGGAUGGGGCCCGCGGCCUAUCAGCUUGUUGGUGGGGUGAUGGCCUACCAAGGCGACGACGGGUAGCCGGCCUGAGAGGGCGACCGGCCACACUGGGACUGAGACACGGCCCAGACUCCUACGGGAGGCAGCAGUGGGGAAUCUUGCGCAAUGGGCGAAAGCCUGACGCAGCGACGCCGCGUGAGGGAUGACGGCCU